This 534-nucleotide ribosomal RNA is filed under the name Xylaria atrosphaerica. Its description in RNAcentral is "eukaryotic LSU rRNA". The stretch from base 157 to 310 matches the Rfam family "5.8S ribosomal RNA". The record is from RNAcentral. Lineage: Eukaryota; Fungi; Ascomycota; Sordariomycetes; Xylariales; Xylariaceae.
AAUUUACUCCUAACCCAUGUGAAUAUACCGUAUGUUGCUUCGGUAGGCUGCAUCUAUCCCGUGGGGUUCCCUUGGGAGAUGUGGAAAAGCCUGCCGGCGGCCUAUUUAAUCCUGUUUAUUUAUUUUUGAAUUCUGAGGUUAUAAUUAAUCAGUUAAAACUUUCAACAACGGAUCUCUUGGUUCUGGCAUCGAUGAAGAACGCAGCGAAAUGCGAUAAGUAAUGUGAAUUGCAGAAUUUAGUGAAUCAUCGAAUCUUUGAACGCACAUUGCGCCCAUUAGUAUUCUAGUGGGCAUGCCUGUUCGAGCGUCAUUUCAACCCUUAAGCCUCUGUUGCUUAGUGUUGGGAGCCUACGAUGGCGUAGCUCCUCAAAAGUAGUGGCGGAGUCGGUUCACACUCUAGACGUAGUAAAUUUUAUCUCGCCUGUGAGUUGGACCGGUCCCUUGCCGUAAAACCCCCCCUAUUUUACAAGGUUGACCUCGGAUCAGGUAGGAAUACCCGCUGAACUUAAGCAUAUCAAUAAGCGGAGGAAGAUC